RNAcentral lists this ribosomal RNA (253 nucleotides) under uncultured bacterium. RNAcentral describes it as "partial 16S ribosomal RNA". It matches the Rfam family "Bacterial small subunit ribosomal RNA", at positions 524 to 776 of the family's 1533-position model. The record is from RNAcentral.
UACGUAGGGUGCAAGCGUUCAUCGGAAUUACUGGGCGUAAAGCGUGCGCAGGCGGCUUUGCAAGACAGAUGUGAAAUCCCCGGGCUUAACCUGGGAACUGCAUUUGUGACUGCAUGGCUGGAGUGCGGCAGAGGGGGAUGGAAUUCCGCGUGUAGCAGUGAAAUGCGUAGAUAUGCGGAGGGACACCGAUGGCGAAGGCAAUCCCCUGGGCCUGCACUGACGCUCAUGCACGAAAGCGUGGGGAGCAAACAGG